UUUCCGUAGGUGAACCUGCGGAAGGAUCAUUAUCAUGUAAUUCAGUCCCCUUGGCUGUGUUAUAUAUAUACCCACUCUGUGUACCUUCUCCUGUUGCUUCCGCUGGGUGUGUAAUUCGCCCGGCGGAAGGGUAAAAAUAACCUCUGAGUAUUGAUGAAAUCUCUGUCUGAACCGAAUAGAAAGAAAAAUGUUAAAACUUUCAGCAACGGAUCUCUUGGUUCUCACAUCGAUGAAGAACGCAGC
RNAcentral lists this unclassified non-coding RNA (243 nucleotides) under plant metagenome. RNAcentral's name for it is "partial contains small subunit ribosomal RNA, internal transcribed spacer 1, and 5.8S ribosomal RNA". The stretch from base 195 to 243 matches the Rfam family "5.8S ribosomal RNA", at positions 1 to 49 of the family's 154-position model. The record is from RNAcentral.